UACGUAGGGGGCGAGCGUUGUCCGGAUUUACUGGGCGUAAAGCGCGUGUAGGCGGGUCUUUAAGUCAGGGGUGAAAUCCUGGAGCUCAACUCCAGAACUGCCUUUGAUACUGAAGAUCUUGAGUGCGGGAGAGGUGAGUGGAACUGCGAGUGUAGAGGUGAAAUUCGUAGAUAUUCGCAAGAACACCAGUGGCGAAGGCGGCUCACUGGCCCGAUACUGACGCUGAGGCACGAAAGCGUGGGGAGCAAACAGG
RNAcentral lists this ribosomal RNA (253 nucleotides) under uncultured bacterium. RNAcentral describes it as "partial 16S ribosomal RNA". It matches the Rfam family "Bacterial small subunit ribosomal RNA", at positions 524 to 776 of the family's 1533-position model. The record is from RNAcentral.